AUCCUGCUGAGGAGCUCUGCAGGGACGUCAAUGCCAGUCCAGCCCGAGGAGACACUCCAGAGACCCCCACACUUUGCACACGGAGGCAUGAAUGAAAAAUAUGGCCUUUAUUGCACAACUGGAAAACUAACUAACAUGGAGCAAAGGAAGACUGUCUUUUCUUAACUAAGCUUGUCAAGAAAACUGUCAAGCCUCAGCUUCGGAGGAUGAGUGGGUUUGAGGAGCUAACCGUGGAUCACUGUGGACCCAGUCAGAUGGUGGUUCAGUGCAGUGGCUACUCCAGGGACAGAGCUGGAGAGAAACAACCCAGACUCGAUAAGACCUGUGUGUGGCAGAGGGUGGAUGUUGAUCUCACAGAAACUCUGUGGACAUCUUAAGGGGCCCGGCACUCCAAAACUUGUCAGAAGGUAAGU
RNAcentral lists this long non-coding RNA (413 nucleotides) under Capra hircus (goat). RNAcentral's name for it is "lncRNA (ENSCHIG00000002716.1)". Lineage: Eukaryota; Metazoa; Chordata; Mammalia; Artiodactyla; Bovidae. The record is from RNAcentral.